GCCUCCGUGGCACAGUUGGUCGCGUGCCUGUUUACAGCGCGGGGGUUCCGGGCUCGAGUCCUGGACAAGGCA
Dryococelus australis is the source of this 72-nucleotide non-coding RNA. NCBI's taxonomy places the organism in Eukaryota, Metazoa, Arthropoda, Insecta, Phasmatodea, Phasmatidae. The record is from the annotation of a GenBank genome assembly.